Molecule: non-coding RNA, 52 nt
Organism: Mesorhizobium loti
Lineage: Bacteria; Pseudomonadati; Pseudomonadota; Alphaproteobacteria; Hyphomicrobiales; Phyllobacteriaceae
Source: Rfam
GAUCCUGGAGGCCAACACCCGGCAGCGCGAUGCGCCCCCGGGUGCUUUUUGG